This 497-nucleotide ribosomal RNA is filed under the name uncultured bacterium. RNAcentral's name for it is "partial 16S ribosomal RNA". It matches the Rfam family "Bacterial small subunit ribosomal RNA", at positions 28 to 507 of the family's 1533-position model. The record is from RNAcentral.
GAUGAACGCUGGCGGCGUGCCUAAUACAUGCAAGUCGAGCGAAAAGACGAGGAGCUGGCUCCUCUGACGUUAGCGGCGGACGGGUGAGUAACACGUGGAUAAUCUACCUAUAAGACUGGGAUAACUUCGGGAAACCGGAGCUAAUACCGGAUAAUAUAUUGAUCCGCAUGGUUGUAUAGUGAAAGACGGUUUUGCUGGCACUUACAGAUGGUUCGGCGCCGCAUUAGCUAGUUGGUAAGGUAAGGGCUUACUAGGGGAACAUUGCCUAGCCGACCUGCGAGGGUUAGCCGCCCGCCUGGAGUGGAGGGACGCUCCGGACUCCUGCGGGAGGCAGGAGUCGGGAGUGUUGCGCAAUGGGCGAAUGCUUGACGGUGCGCCGCCGCGUGAGUCAUGAAGGUCUUCGGCUCGUAAAACUCUGUUAUUAGGUAAGAACAAAUGUGUAAGUACCUAUGCACGUCUUGACGGUACCUAAUCAGGAAGCCCCGGCUAACUACGUG